Molecule: ribosomal RNA, 405 nt
Filed under: uncultured Acetobacterium sp.
Lineage: Bacteria; Bacillati; Bacillota; Clostridia; Eubacteriales; Eubacteriaceae
Description: bacterial SSU rRNA
Rfam family: Bacterial small subunit ribosomal RNA
Source: RNAcentral
UGGGGAAUAUUGCGCAAUGGGGGAAACCCUGACGCAGCAAUACCGCGUGAGUGAAGAAGGUUUUCGGAUCGUAAAGCUCUGUUAUUGGGGAAGAAAAAAGACGGUACCCAAGAAGAAAGUCCCGGCUAACUACGUGCCAGCAGCCGCGGUAAUACGUAGGGGACAAGCGUUGUCCGGAUUUACUGGGCGUAAAGGGCACGCAGGCGGUUUUUUAAGUCAGAUGUGAAAGGUACCGGCUCAACCGGUGACAUGCAUUUGAAACUGAAAGACUUGAGUAUUGGAGAGGCAAGUGGAAUUCCUAGUGUAGCGGUGAAAUGCGUAGAUAUUAGGAGGAACACCGGUGGCGAAGGCGGCUUGCUGGACAAAUACUGACGCUGAGGUGCGAAAGCGUGGGGAGCAAACAGG